Molecule: ribosomal RNA, 91 nt
Filed under: Rhodospirillaceae bacterium
Lineage: Bacteria; Pseudomonadati; Pseudomonadota; Alphaproteobacteria; Rhodospirillales; Rhodospirillaceae
Description: partial 23S ribosomal RNA
Rfam family: Bacterial large subunit ribosomal RNA
Source: RNAcentral
CCGUUCUAGACUAGGACGUUGAUAGGUUCGGUGUGGAAGCACAGCGAUGUGUGAAGCUAACGAAUACUAAUUGCUCGAUCGACUUGUUUUU